GAGCUGGAACCUGCUGCAAGCGUUUGACGGCAUUCACGCACUUUUGAAACUUUCUAUGAACGGAUUUGGAUCUAAUGUCCCUGAAAACAAAGAAAGGUUGGGAAUGUGACUAGUCAGUAAUGCCUGUGAGAACCAACUGGAAGAGAAGAAAUUAUUUAUUCUUUACCAUCAAUAUGUGACUGUGUCUUGAAAUGAAUAUCCUGGAAUCUGAUUCAGACUUGAUUUUGGAAACCCCUGCGCCCCCCCCCCCC
Long non-coding RNA from Neofelis nebulosa (Clouded leopard), 251 nucleotides. RefSeq lists it as uncharacterized. The record is from RefSeq and is a predicted model, not a curated record. The transcript has 3 exons. NCBI's taxonomy places the organism in Eukaryota, Metazoa, Chordata, Mammalia, Carnivora, Felidae.